Molecule: ribosomal RNA, 1493 nt
Filed under: Rosenbergiella gaditana
Lineage: Bacteria; Pseudomonadati; Pseudomonadota; Gammaproteobacteria; Enterobacterales; Erwiniaceae
Description: Rosenbergiella sp. S61 partial 23S ribosomal RNA
Rfam family: Bacterial large subunit ribosomal RNA
Source: RNAcentral
GGGUUGUGAGGUUAAGCGAAUAAGCGUACACGGUGGAUGCCCUGGCAGUCAGAGGCGAUGAAGGACGUGCUAAUCUGCGAAAAGCGUCGGUAAGGUGAUAUGAACCGUUAUAGCCGACGAUAUCCGAAUGGGGAAACCCAGUGUGUUUUGACACACUAUCGCAACAUGAAUACAUAGUGUUGCGAGGCGAACCGAGGGAACUGAAACAUCUAAGUACCUCGAGGAAAAGAAAUCAACCGAGAUUCCCCUAGUAGCGGCGAGCGAACGGGGAGGAGCCCAGAGUCUGCAUCAGUCAGUGUGUUAAUGGAACGGUCUGGAAAGUCCGGCGAUACAGGGUGAUAGCCCCGUACAUGAAAAUGCACUGAUUGUGAGCUCGAAGAGUAGGGCGGGACACGUGGUAUCCUGUCUGAAUAUGGGGGGACCAUCCUCCAAGGCUAAAUACUCCUGACUGACCGAUAGUGAACCAGUACCGUGAGGGAAAGGCGAAAAGAACCCCGGCGAGGGGAGUGAAAUAGAACCUGAAACCGUGUACGUACAAGCAGUGGGAGCACGCCUUGAGCGUGUGACUGCGUACCUUUUGUAUAAUGGGUCAGCGACUUAUAUUUUGUAGCAAGGUUAACCGAAUAGGGGAGCCGCAGGGAAACCGAGUCUUAACUGGGCGUUAAGUUGCAAGGUAUAGACCCGAAACCCGGUGAUCUAGCCAUGGGCAGGUUGAAGGUUGGGUAACACUAACUGGAGGACCGAACCGACUAAUGUUGAAAAAUUAGCGGAUGACUUGUGGCUGGGGGUGAAAGGCCAAUCAAACCGGGAGAUAGCUGGUUCUCCCCGAAAGCUAUUUAGGUAGCGCCUCGUGAACUCAUCUUCGGGGGUAGAGCACUGUUUCGGCUAGGGGGCCAUCCCGGCUUACCAACCCGAUGCAAACUACGAAUACCGAAGAAUGUUAUCACGGGAGACACACGGCGGGUGCUAACGUCCGUCGUGAAGAGGGAAACAACCCAGACCGCCAGCUAAGGUCCCAAAGUCAUAGUUAAGUGGGAAACGAUGUGGGAAGGCUCAGACAGCCAGGAUGUUGGCUUAGAAGCAGCCAUCAUUUAAAGAAAGCGUAAUAGCUCACUGGUCGAGUCGGCCUGCGCGGAAGAUGUAACGGGGCUAAACUAUGCACCGAAGCUGCGGCAGCAAUACUGUGUAUUGUUGGGUAGGGGAGCGUUCUGUAAGCCGUCGAAGGUGGACUGUGAGGUCUGCUGGAGGUAUCAGAAGUGCGAAUGCUGACAUGAGUAACGAUAAAGCGGGUGAAAAACCCGCUCGCCGGAAGAUCAAGGUUUCCUGUCCAACGUUAAUCGGGGCAGGGUAAGUCGACCCCUAAGGCGAGGCUGAAAAGCGUAGUCGAUGGGAAACAGGUUAAUAUUCCUGUACUUGGUGUUACUGCGAAGGGGGGACGGAGAAGGCUAGGUUAUCCGGGCGACGGUUGUCCCGGUUUAAGCGAGUAGGCUGAU